Molecule: unclassified non-coding RNA, 316 nt
Filed under: Hevea brasiliensis (rubber tree)
Lineage: Eukaryota; Viridiplantae; Streptophyta; Magnoliopsida; Malpighiales; Euphorbiaceae
Source: RNAcentral
GAGUGAUGAUUUUGAAGGCAAGGGCGACUUUAGCCAGUAUCGUUCUAAGCUAGUAAAUUAUUCUGAGAUUCUUCUUUUUCUUAUUUAACAUCUUAGUUCGCCUUCUUAUUGUCAGUGGUCAAAUUAUACAUUUUAACUUUUUAAGGAUUUAUAUCAUUGUUUGAUUUACUGUACUGCAGCUGUCUUUUUAUUUUUUUAUUCUUCCCCAUUUUCUCUUUAUUUUCUGUUUUCAUUGUUAUUUAACUUGUUGUGUUUGGGUUUGUUACUGAUGCAUGCUUUCUUAAUGCAAUCCGAGCUGAUGAAGUUUGUUGCUUCU